RNAcentral lists this small nuclear RNA (23 nucleotides) under Arabidopsis thaliana (thale cress). Its description in RNAcentral is "snRNA_09112". Lineage: Eukaryota; Viridiplantae; Streptophyta; Magnoliopsida; Brassicales; Brassicaceae. The record is from RNAcentral.
CCAAAAUCCGGUUAGAUUUCACA